RNAcentral lists this long non-coding RNA (217 nucleotides) under Elaeis guineensis (African oil palm). RNAcentral describes it as "long non-coding RNA (EGUI_LNC029605)". The record is from RNAcentral. Lineage: Eukaryota; Viridiplantae; Streptophyta; Magnoliopsida; Arecales; Arecaceae.
GCAUCAUGUUUGUUGUAGAGAAGAACUGUUUGACUCUCUAAAAAGUAGUGAGAAUACUAUUUAUUUAUCGGAUGGAUCGAGCUGUGCAAUCAAGAGCAUUGGGAUAGUUAGCUUGCAAACAUAUGAUAGAGCAAUGAGGAAGUUGGAUGAGGUCUGAUACAUACAUAGUUUUAGGAGUAAUCUGAUUUCAUUGAGUAGACUAAAUUCAAGUAGCUAC